Mycena sp. CBHHK59/15 is the source of this 96-nucleotide non-coding RNA. Lineage: Eukaryota; Fungi; Basidiomycota; Agaricomycetes; Agaricales; Mycenaceae. The record is from the annotation of a GenBank genome assembly.
GCAUUAAUGGGGUAGUGGUAACCUGGGUCGUUGCCAAGCGCAUCUGAUUGGAUAGCACUGCUCGACCCGCCGGGGGUUCGAUUCCCUCUUAAUGCA